Molecule: ribosomal RNA, 429 nt
Filed under: Pseudomonadota bacterium
Lineage: Bacteria; Pseudomonadati; Pseudomonadota
Description: Proteobacteria bacterium partial 16S ribosomal RNA
Rfam family: Bacterial small subunit ribosomal RNA
Source: RNAcentral
UGGGGAAUCUUGGACAAUGGGCGAAAGCCUGAUCCAGCCAUGCCGCGUGUGUGAAGAAGGUCUUCGGAUUGUAAAGCACUUUAAGUUGGGAGGAAGGGCAGUAAGCGAAUACCUUGCUGUUUUGACGUUACCGACAGAAUAAGCACCGGCUAACUCUGUGCCAGCAGCCGCGGUAAUACAGAGGGUGCAAGCGUUCAUCGGAAUUACUGGGCGUAAAGCGCGCGUAGGUGGUUCGUUAAGUUGAAUGUGAAAGACCCGGGCUCAACCUGGGAACUGCAUCCAAAACUGGCGAGCUAGCGUAGGGCAGAGGGUGGUGGAAUUUCCUGUGUAGCGGUGAAAUGCGUAGAUAUAGGAAGGAACACCAGUGGCGAAGACGACCACCUGGGCUCAUACUGACACUGAGGUGCGAAAGCGUGGGGAGCAAACAGG